UUCGAAGCAACGCGAAGAACCUUACCAGGUCUUGACAUCUUCUGACAAUCCUAGAGAUAGGACGUCCCCUUCGGGGGCAGAGUGACAGGUGGUGCAUGGUUGUCGUCAGCUCGUGUCGUGAGAUGUUGGGUUAAGUCCCGCAACGAGCGCAACCCUUGAUUUUAGUUGCCAGCAUUCAGUUGGGCACUUUAAGGUGACUGCCGGUGACAAACCGGAGGAAGGUGGGGAGGACGUCAAAUCAUCAUGCCCCUUAUGACCUGGGCUACACACGUGCUACAAUGGGCAGAACAAAGGGCAGGGAAACCGCGAGGUUAAGCCAAUCCCACAAAUCUGUUCUCAGUUCGGAUCGCAGUCUGCAACUCGACUGCGUGAAGCUGGAAUCGCUAGUAAUCGCGGAUCAGCAUGCCGCGGUGAAUACGUUCCCGGGCCUUGUACACACCGCCCGUCACACCACGAGAGUUUGUAACACCCGAAGUCGGUGAGG
This 484-nucleotide ribosomal RNA is filed under the name Bacillus sp. MAL 38. RNAcentral describes it as "bacterial SSU rRNA". It matches the Rfam family "Bacterial small subunit ribosomal RNA", at positions 950 to 1435 of the family's 1533-position model. The record is from RNAcentral. Lineage: Bacteria; Bacillati; Bacillota; Bacilli; Caryophanales; Bacillaceae.